UGGGGAAUAUUGGACAAUGGGCGCAAGCCUGAUCCAGCCAUGCCGCGUGAGUGACGAAGGCCUUAGGGUUGUAAAGCUCUUUUGGCGGGGAAGAUAAUGACGGUACCCGCAGAAUAAGCUCCGGCUAACUUCGUGCCAGCAGCCGCGGUAAUACGAAGGGAGCUAGCGUUGUUCGGAAUCACUGGGCGUAAAGCGCACGUAGGCGGAUAGUUAAGUCAGGGGUGAAAUCCUGGGGCUCAACCCCAGAACUGCCUUUGAUACUGGCUGUCUCGAGGUCGAGAGAGGUUGGUGGAAUUCCUAGUGUAGAGGUGAAAUUCGUAGAUAUUAGGAAGAACACCAGUGGCGAAGGCGGCCAACUGGCUCGAUACUGACGCUGAGGUGCGAAAGCGUGGGGAGCAAACAGGAUUAGAUACCCCCGUAGUCCCUGAGCGGGCUGGCAAGGCGCAU
Molecule: ribosomal RNA, 447 nt
Filed under: uncultured bacterium
Lineage: Bacteria
Description: bacterial SSU rRNA
Rfam family: Bacterial small subunit ribosomal RNA
Source: RNAcentral